Molecule: ribosomal RNA, 468 nt
Filed under: uncultured bacterium
Lineage: Bacteria
Description: partial 16S ribosomal RNA
Rfam family: Bacterial small subunit ribosomal RNA
Source: RNAcentral
GACGAACGCUGGCGGCGUGCUUAACACAUGCAAGUCGAACGGAAAGGCCCUGCUUUUGUGGGGUGCUCGAGUGGCGAACGGGUGAGUAACACGUGAGUAACCUGCCCUUGACUUUGGGAUAACUUCAGGAAACUGGGGCUAAUACCGGAUAGGAGCUCCUGCUGCAUGGUGGGGGUUGGAAAGUUUCGGCGGUUGGGUAUGGACUCGCGGGUUAUCAGCUUGUUGGUGGGGUAGUGGCUUACCAAGGCUUUGACGGGUAGCCGGCCUGAGAGGGUGACCGGCCACAUUGGGACUGAGAUACGGCCCAGACUCCUACGGGAGGCAGCAGUGGGGAAUAUUGCACAAUGGGCGGAAGCCUGAUGCAGCAACGCCGCGUGCGGGAUGACGGCCUUCGGGUUGUAAACCGCUUUCGCCUGUGACGAAGCGUGAGUGACGGUAAUGGGUAAAGAAGCACCGGCUAACUACGUG